RNAcentral lists this unclassified non-coding RNA (213 nucleotides) under plant metagenome. RNAcentral's name for it is "partial contains small subunit ribosomal RNA, internal transcribed spacer 1, and 5.8S ribosomal RNA". The record is from RNAcentral.
UUUCCGUAGGUGAACCUGCGGAAGGAUCAUUCAUAGUAAGUGUUUUAUGGCACUUUUUUAAAUCCAUUUCCACCUUGUGUGCAAUGUCAGGGUUGAUUUUUCUCUCGAGAGGAUCAACCCCAAACAUCAACUAUAUCUCAACUCUUUGUCUGAAAAAUAUUAUGAAUAAAACAAUUCAAAAUACAACUUUCAACAACGGAUCUCUUGGCUCUC